GUCCUCGUAGCUCAGUUGGAUAGAGCGCAAGUUUCCUAAACUUGAGGCCGCAGGUUCGAUCCCUGCCGGGGACA
Molecule: transfer RNA, 74 nt
Filed under: Gemmatimonas sp.
Lineage: Bacteria; Pseudomonadati; Gemmatimonadota; Gemmatimonadia; Gemmatimonadales; Gemmatimonadaceae
Also listed under: 1 other name
Description: tRNA-Arg
Rfam family: tRNA
About the family: Transfer RNA (tRNA) molecules are approximately 80 nucleotides in length. Their secondary structure includes four short double-helical elements and three loops (D, anti-codon, and T loops). Further hydrogen bonds mediate the characteristic L-shaped molecular structure. tRNAs have two regions of fundamental functional importance: the anti-codon, which is responsible for specific mRNA codon recognition, and the 3' end, to which the tRNAs corresponding amino acid is attached (by aminoacyl-tRNA synthetases). tRNAs cope with the degeneracy of the genetic code in two manners: having more than one tRNA (with a specific anti-codon) for a particular amino acid; and 'wobble' base-pairing, i.e. permitting non-standard base-pairing at the 3rd anti-codon position.
Source: RNAcentral